RNAcentral lists this ribosomal RNA (483 nucleotides) under uncultured bacterium. RNAcentral describes it as "bacterial SSU rRNA". It matches the Rfam family "Bacterial small subunit ribosomal RNA", at positions 28 to 518 of the family's 1533-position model. The record is from RNAcentral.
GAUGAACGCUAGCGGCAGGCUUAAUACAUGCAAGUCGAACGGAAGUAGCAAUACUUUAGUGGCGCACGGGUGAGUAACGCGUACAUAACAUGCCUUUGACUGGGGGAUAGCCUUUGGAAACGAGGAGUAAUACCCCAUGGUAUUUAAGACUGGCAUCGGUUUUAAAUUAAAGUUACGGCGGUCAAAGAUUGAUGUGCGUUAGAUUAGGUAGUUGGUGAGGUAACGGCUCACCAAGCCGACGAUCUAUAGGGGGCGUGAGAGCGUGACCCCCCACACGGGUACUGAGACACGGACCCGACUCCUACGGGAGGCAGCAGUAGGGAAUAUUGGUCAAUGGAGGCAACUCUGAACCAGCCAUGCCGCGUGAAGGACGAAGGCGCUUUGCGUCGUAAACUUCUUUUAUAUGGGACGAAAAAGGUAGAUUCAUCUACAACUGACGGUACCAUAGGAAUAAGCACCGGCUAACUCCGUGCCAGCCGCCGC